Molecule: long non-coding RNA, 224 nt
Organism: Esox lucius (northern pike)
Lineage: Eukaryota; Metazoa; Chordata; Actinopteri; Esociformes; Esocidae
Exons: 3
Source: RefSeq, a predicted model, not a curated record
GGAUGGAUGAGACCAGAUCACCAGCAGUUGGGCAAAUGGAAGGGGGCUAGAAACUCAAGAUCAUUUGGAGUCCAGGAUUGGAGGUCCAACCUACAACUUCAAGUCAAAUGGAAGAAAGUAACACUCCUGGAAGUUCUGUUCUUAAAAACCCAUGUUUGCCAGGAAUUACUGAGGCUGAGGUUAAAAGGGCAGCUCAAAACUGGCUCAGGCUGAGCCUAGACCGA